UAGUCAUAUGCUUGUCUCAAAGAUUAAGCCAUGCAUGUCUAAGUAUAAAUAACUACACAGUAAAACUGCGAAUGGCUCAUUAAAACAGUUAUAGUUUAUUUGAUACAUUAAAUGGAUAACUGUAGAAAAACUAGAGCUAAUACAUGCCAAGACCGCAAGGUUGUAUUUAUUAGAUAUACCAAGUGGGUGAAUCAUAAUAACUUCGCAAAUCGCGGCCACGCCGCGAUAAAUCAUUCAAGUUUCUGCCCUAUCAUGCUUUCGAUGGUAGUGUAUUGGA
Molecule: ribosomal RNA, 277 nt
Filed under: uncultured eukaryote
Lineage: Eukaryota
Description: partial 18S ribosomal RNA
Rfam family: Eukaryotic small subunit ribosomal RNA
Source: RNAcentral